Molecule: long non-coding RNA, 209 nt
Filed under: Mytilus galloprovincialis (Mediterranean mussel)
Lineage: Eukaryota; Metazoa; Mollusca; Bivalvia; Mytilida; Mytilidae
Source: RNAcentral
CACCUUAAUAUAAUUAAAUAAAAAAAUAUAAAUAAUUAUAAUAGAUAUUUUGUCUUUAUAUAAUUAUUCAUUUGAAUUAUAUGGUCUUGUGGUAACCUUGCUAACAUCAUAGGGAGGACCAUUCAUAAGAUAUAUUCGUUUUAGAAAAUUGGCAAGGUGUAACUUAUUUUUAAAGAACAUGUAUUAAGAAACAGUAGCUGACUUUGCCC